RNAcentral lists this transfer RNA (82 nucleotides) under Echinostoma caproni. It matches the Rfam family "tRNA". Rfam says of the family: Transfer RNA (tRNA) molecules are approximately 80 nucleotides in length. Their secondary structure includes four short double-helical elements and three loops (D, anti-codon, and T loops). Lineage: Eukaryota; Metazoa; Platyhelminthes; Trematoda; Plagiorchiida; Echinostomatidae. The record is from Rfam by way of RNAcentral.
GGUCUCGUGGCUCAGCUGGUAGAGCAUGCGCGUACAAAGCGUAGGCGGUGUCCAUGCGUGGGUUCGAAUCCCUCCGAGGCUA